UGCAAGUCGAACGGUAACAGAGAGUAGCUUGCUACUUUGCUGACGAGUGGCGGACGGGUGAGUAAUGUCUGGGGAUCUGCCUGAUGGAGGGGGAUAACUACUGGAAACGGUAGCUAAUACCGCAUAAUGUCGCAAGACCAAAGCGGGGGACUUUCGGGCCUCGCACCAUCAGAUGAACCCAGAUGGGAUUAGCUAGUAGGUAGGGUAAUGGCUUACCUAGGCGACGAUCCCUAGCUGGUCUGAGAGGAUGACCAGCCACACUGGAACUGAGACACGGUCCAGACUCCUACGGGAGGCAGCAGUGGGGAAUAUUGCACAAUGGGCGCAAGCCUGAUCCAGCCAUGCCGCGUGUGUGAAGAAGGCCUUAUGGUUGUAAAGCACUUUAAGCGAGGAGGAGGCUUACCUAGUUAAUACCUAGGAUAAGUGGACGUUACUCGCAGAAUAAGCACCGGCUAACUCUGUGCCAGCAGCCGCGGUAAUACAGAGGGUGCAAGCGUUAAUCGGAAUUACUGGGCGUAAAGCGCGCGUAGGUGGCCAUUUAAGUCAAAUGUGAAAU
This 556-nucleotide ribosomal RNA is filed under the name uncultured Cedecea sp. Its description in RNAcentral is "bacterial SSU rRNA". It matches the Rfam family "Bacterial small subunit ribosomal RNA", at positions 56 to 600 of the family's 1533-position model. Lineage: Bacteria; Pseudomonadati; Pseudomonadota; Gammaproteobacteria; Enterobacterales; Enterobacteriaceae. The record is from RNAcentral.